This 73-nucleotide transfer RNA is filed under the name Tarentola mauritanica (Moorish gecko). Its description in RNAcentral is "tRNA-Glu". Lineage: Eukaryota; Metazoa; Chordata; Lepidosauria; Squamata; Phyllodactylidae. The record is from RNAcentral.
GUUCCUAUUGGCUACCACCAGCGGUGGUUUUUCGGACCACAGGGCUUGGUGUUUAAAUCCAAGUAGGAACUAG